Molecule: long non-coding RNA, 3085 nt
Filed under: Marmota monax (woodchuck)
Lineage: Eukaryota; Metazoa; Chordata; Mammalia; Rodentia; Sciuridae
Source: RNAcentral
AUAGAAUUGUUAUAUUAGUUAGUGUAUCAUGGUAUAUGUUACUUAAAUAUUUCUGAAGCAAGAUAAAUGAAGAGUGAAGUUGAUUACAAGAGGAGGAGGAAACUGUUCCUUGUGUUCAGACCUCUGGUACUCGCUUUUGCCUAUGUCUCUGGCAAUUUACACACUGUCAAGUCACACUGUGACUUUCAGUAAUAUGCUCUUUAUAUCCCAGGGUGAUGGCAGACUCCAAUGCCAAUGACUGUAAUACACUUACCAAGACAAUCUACCCUGCGAAAGCUGGGACAUUAAGUUUGCUUAUCCUUUGUAAUUAAAGAGAAAUGUAGGGAUUUCAGGGUGAGGGAGGGAAUCUGAACUGUUCCACCAGCAAAUCCUUUGUCAUUUUCACUUUAUAGUAAAAUAUAUGAGAUGUUAUAUGAGAAAGAAGAACAACAUAAUGGAUACUUCUAUUGCAGUCCAGAAAAAGGGAAGUGAACCUAGCAAAAAAUGAAGUGAAAUACCUGUUUUUCUAAAAGAAGAAAAUGAACUAAACAUAUGUAUUUCCUUCACCCCUGUUAGUUUAUUAGUUUAUUUUCUUCUUUUGUUUGAGUGCACAGGAUUUUGGAUUUCCUGGAAAAUGAGGUGGAUUCAAACUUAACAAAAAAGAAAAUUCUUGAGGAAUAUUAAUGUUUAUCAGCUAAGCCCAUAAGUGUUUCCAUAAGUAGAACUAAGUAUUUCAUCAAACAUCAAAUUGGUCAAAUAUUGACCAGUAUUAACUAUUUCAAAUGUGAAACUUAUGUUUCUAAAUACAAAUGUUACAAAAUUGCUACUAAUUUGUAAUUUCCCCAUUACUAAAACUUAACUGCUUUUAUAAGCUAAGUAAGUUGUUUGGAUCAUAAAACUAUAAAGUUUAAAUUAAACCAGAAAUAUGGUUUAUUUUUUUUUCCUCUGAGAGAUAAAUUCUAUUCUGUUUUCUAACUAAGAAUUUGAAGGUUAUCAGGACAAAGUAUCUCUUGGAAAGAGAUAAGAAAAGUACACAGUAUAAGGAAGGUAAAAGAAAAAUAAAUAUGUACAAUUACUAUGCAUUAAUUAAAAGUAAAAAUUCAAUGUCAAAUAUGAACAUCAAAUGGAAUAAAUGCCAAGUAUUAUAAAUAAGUAUCUUUCCAGCUGUUAGUAAUAUGUAAGAAAGUUCUAGUGUUGAGUCCUAUUGGAUAUUUGAAAUAUCUGGUAGAAGACAUUUUAGGUACCUGUUUUUUAGCAUUACCCUCAAAGUCUCCAGCUUUUUGACUUUUAGCUUUUUGAUUGAUCCAUAAUAAUAAUAUGCACUUAUAAGGUACAAUAUGUUGUUUGAUUCUUGUAUACAUUUGUAAUAAUAAAGUCAGAACAGUUAGCAUACCCAUCACUUUAAACUUUUGUGUUCUUUGUGAUGAAUAUAUUAAAAGUUCUCUCUUCUAGCUAUUGAGAAAUAUACUGUGUUUUUGUUAACUAUAUCCCUCCCCUCUGCUAUGCCAUUGAACACCAGCAGUUCUUCCUCCUAUCUGUAACACUGUACAUUUUCCAUCUUCUUCCCACCACUCUCCCCAGUCUCUGGAAAGAGACAUGAGCAUUUCAAAGUUAUUGCAGCAUUAUUCACAAUAGCCCAGAUAUGGAAUCAGCUUAAACAUACAUCAAGGGAUGAACCGUUAAAGAAAAUGUGACAUAUACACAAUGGGUUACUAUACACUAACAAAAAGGAUGAAAUAAUGUAAUUGGUGACAACAUAGAGGAACCUAGAAAACAUUAUUUUAUGUGAAAUGUCAGGCCCAGGAAGAUAAACACUGCAAGACUUUGAAAAUAUGUGUAAUAUCAUGGAAGUUUUGUAUUUUAAAAUAAUAGACUUUAAACUCUUUAGAUUACAACCAAAGAAAAUGGAUCAUACAGGGACCAGCUAGAAAAAAAAAAUUAAGAGCCAGUAUUACUUUCUUGGAGUUGGAGAGAAUAUUUAAACACAAUGCAAAACCCAGCAGUCAUAAUCAACUCCAUUCUUUUCAAAUUUGAAUGAGUUGCUUUAAAUUAAUUCAAGGACUAUGUGUGUGGGGGGGAUGAUGGGAUGAAUAAGAAAUGCAUAUGAAACAAGAUUGCUUAUAUGUUGAUAAUUUUGAAAAUUGUUGAAAAGGUAAUAGAUACUUAGGCACUUAUUAUUUUUUUUCUUUUUGUAUAUGCUUGAGGUUUUUUUAAUGUCAAAAAAGUAAGUAAAAAAAGCAAGAAGAGAAAUAUUAUAAGGAAAAGGAGAAGAGAAAGGAGGAACUUUUAGAAGACUAGUCAGAGGGGCAAGUUGGAGCUUUAUGGAAAUUCAAGGGAUUUUUAUUCUAUCUUAAUGACAAUGAAAAAUAUAUGAAAAUUAGGAUGCACUGAGUUGUUAAGAUACUUUUACUAUAGAACUAAAAAUAAUGAAUGUUGAGAUUUUUAUGUCAACCUAAAAUCCAAACGACAUAACACUGUGCUUAAAAUCAGCUAAUCCUACGUAUCUUUGUCCUUGUGAAUGGUUUAAACUGAGGCUCCCUGGUUUCUUUGGAGAUGAAAUGAUUUGCAUCUGUUCUUCACCAACACUUGCUGUUGUGACUUUGUUUAGUUUUGUUUGCCACUCUGAGAAUCAUAUGGUGAUUCUCAAAAGUCUUUCAUCAAGCAUUUCUCAAAAGUCUUAACAUCAAGCAUAUUUUAUGUGUUUAUUUACCACUAUGAUAUUGUCUUUAUUGUUGUUACUUUGUAAGUCAUGAAAUCUAGAACUCUGAUUUCUGCAAAUUUGAUCUUUUUUUCAAAAUAAUUUGGCUAUUAGUUCUUUUACCUUUUCACAUAAUUAAAAAGUGACCUUCUUGAUUUCUACGAAAAAUAAAGUAAAUCAUGCUGAAGUGUUUCCUGGAAUUACACUGGAUUUAUAAACCUGUUUGGAAAUAGUUUGAAUAUUCCAUCCAUGAGUUGAAUAUUCCAAUCUAUGAACAUCUUUUAUUUCUUUAUUGAUUUAGAUCUUCUUUGAGCUGUUUAUUAUUUUUUAAUAUAGUUUUUAUUAUACUGAUUAUGAACAUAUUUUGAUAGGCUUACAAUUAAGUAUUUUAUCUUAACUGGUGUCACU